Molecule: ribosomal RNA, 73 nt
Filed under: Corbicula sp. form C U1
Lineage: Eukaryota; Metazoa; Mollusca; Bivalvia; Venerida; Cyrenidae
Description: partial 5.8S ribosomal RNA
Rfam family: 5.8S ribosomal RNA
About the family: 5.8S ribosomal RNA (5.8S rRNA) is a component of the large subunit of the eukaryotic ribosome. It is transcribed by RNA polymerase I as part of the 45S precursor that also contains 18S and 28S rRNA. Functionally, it is thought that 5.8S rRNA may be involved in ribosome translocation.
Source: RNAcentral
CAACUCUAUGCGGUGGAUCACUCGGCUCGUGCGUCNAUGAAGAGCGCAGCCAGGUGCGUGAAUUAAUGUGAAU